This 713-nucleotide ribosomal RNA is filed under the name Bacillus cereus. RNAcentral describes it as "bacterial SSU rRNA". It matches the Rfam family "Bacterial small subunit ribosomal RNA", at positions 56 to 750 of the family's 1533-position model. The record is from RNAcentral. Lineage: Bacteria; Bacillati; Bacillota; Bacilli; Caryophanales; Bacillaceae.
UGCAGUCGAGCGAAUGGAUUAAGAGCUUGCUCUUAUGAAGUUAGCGGCGGACGGGUGAGUAACACGUGGGUAACCUGCCCAUAAGACUGGGAUAACUCCGGGAAACCGGGGCUAAUACCGGAUAACAUUUUGAACCGCAUGGUUCGAAAUUGAAAGGCGGCUUCGGCUGUCACUUAUGGAUGGACCCGCGUCGCAUUAGCUAGUUGGUGAGGUAACGGCUCACCAAGGCAACGAUGCGUAGCCGACCUGAGAGGGUGAUCGGCCACACUGGGACUGAGACACGGCCCAGACUCCUACGGGAGGCAGCAGUAGGGAAUCUUCCGCAAUGGACGAAAGUCUGACGGAGCAACGCCGCGUGAGUGAUGAAGGCUUUCGGGUCGUAAAACUCUGUUGUUAGGGAAGAACAAGUGCUAGUUGAAUAAGCUGGCACCUUGACGGUACCUAACCAGAAAGCCACGGCUAACUACGUGCCAGCAGCCGCGGUAAUACGUAGGUGGCAAGCGUUAUCCGGAAUUAUUGGGCGUAAAGCGCGCGCAGGUGGUUUCUUAAGUCUGAUGUGAAAGCCCACGGCUCAACCGUGGAGGGUCAUUGGAAACUGGGAGACUUGAGUGCAGAAGAGGAAAGUGGAAUUCCAUGUGUAGCGGUGAAAUGCGUAGAGAUAUGGAGGAACACCAGUGGCGAAGGCGACUUUCUGGUCUGUAACUGACACUGAG